CUGGAAAGGUGGGCGUGUCGGUGAGGUCGAAGGUCGUCGAGGAGAUGACAUGCGUAGUGACUCGGCCCAGAGGCCGAGGAAGGGCUCACAUUCUUCAGAGAAGGGUGCAGGCAGAUUGCAAACCAGGUGGAAUGCAGGAUAAGAACUGCUCUGUGUCAUAUCAACCAGCUUCUACAGUGGAAUUCAGUCAAGAAUCUAUCGUUAUGAAGCCUGGUGGUUACAGCGAAGACGAAUCGACUGAUGUAUUUAUGGGCGAGUUCUCUUCGGACUCCUCAUCCAGUAGAGGAACAAAGAAAGCUAGAGCAUCCUCCUCCUCAUUCAGGAAGGAGAGUGGAUAUGGAUCUGACCCUAUAACGAAUAAAUGUACAAAUAGAUCAUCACGUAAUAGUUUUCAAUAUAGAUCAUAUUCAUCUGUAACUUCAAACGGACGUGCAAGGCCAUCUUUAGGUCGAGGAUCAAGAUCUCAUGUUGUUGACAACCAUUCUUUCUCAACCACAAGUAGAACCACAAGUAGAACCAAAACAAAUUAAUCAUCGUACUUCGAUUAAAUGUGGUAUUAAAAUUUCGAUAUUAAAGAACACAUUCUGUCUGUGUUUUGUUUUGUCUCAUUUUCUUUCAUGUGGCUUCUGAGGGUGACCAUAUUAAAUGCCAAACACCUGAUGUCCAACCACGGAUGAUUGCCUCGGGUGAACUGUUAUUGGUGCUCGAAUUACUGACAAGAAUACGACUCAAAGUGAACUUGUUUCAUCCUCCAUCAAUUCCUUAUUAUAACAUACAUUAACCUUCAUUGCCACCCUUACUUUGAUCUUGGAUCACUUCACCUUUUUAUCCUAUCCCCACGUUCCCCACACAUGUGGUGUUCUUUUCACCUAUCAUAUUAUUUUGUUGCGUCAGCAAUUGUGUUGGAAAUGUGUUGUUGUUGUUUUGAAA
Molecule: long non-coding RNA, 930 nt
Organism: Halichondria panicea
Lineage: Eukaryota; Metazoa; Porifera; Demospongiae; Suberitida; Halichondriidae
Exons: 2
Source: RefSeq, a predicted model, not a curated record